AGUGAACGCUGGCGGUAGGCCUAACACAUGCAAGUCGAACGGCAGCACAGUAAGAGCUUGCUCUUACGGGUGGCGAGUGGCGGACGGGUGAGGAAUACAUCGGAAUCUACUUUUUCGUGGGGGAUAACGUAGGGAAACUUACGCUAAUACCGCAUACGACCUACGGGUGAAAGCAGGGGAUCUUCGGACCUUGCGCGAUUGAAUGAGCCGAUGUCGGAUUAGCUAGUUGGCGGGGUAAAGGCCCACCAAGGCGACGAUACGUAGCUGGUCUGAGAGGAUGAUCAGCCACACUGGAACUGGGACACGGUCCAGACUCCUACGGGAGGCAGCAGUGGGGAAUAUUGGACAAUGGGCGCAAGCCUGAUCCAGCCAUACCGCGUGGGUGAAGAAGGCCUUCGGGUUGUAAAGCCCUUUUGUUGGGAAAGAAAAGCAGCAGGUUAAUACCCCGCUGUUCUGACGGUACCCAAAGAAUAAGCACCGGCUAACUUCGUG
RNAcentral lists this ribosomal RNA (492 nucleotides) under uncultured bacterium. RNAcentral describes it as "partial 16S ribosomal RNA". It matches the Rfam family "Bacterial small subunit ribosomal RNA", at positions 29 to 507 of the family's 1533-position model. The record is from RNAcentral.